UUGCCCGAACCCUCUCCUUCCCCCGACUCUGCUCUUCCUCUCUCGUGAACAAGCGACGCCGACGCGAGGGAUGCUCCAGCUCCGGUGAUUUUUCUUCCCCGGCAUCGACAUCCAUUGAGCUCCGAUACUGCCGAACCCUUCUUCCUCUCACUCUGAUCUCUCUGUUCUCUCACGGAUGAUCCGACGACCCUUUGGUGGCUAGGGCACGGUGAGGAACGAGGUUCGGUGCCGCUGGAUCAAGUUGUGCCAUCGCCGAUCACCGGCGUGAAGAGACAAUUAGGGUUCCACGGGUCACGGAUUGGAGGGGAUCAAUGAGUCUGUUCUAUGGGGAUUCAAUUGAAGAGGUGUUUCUUGAGCUAUGGUUGUGCUUGAUCAGUAGUCUUCCUGCUGGAUUCCUGCUUGAUCCGAUUGAUAGCAGCAAGCGAGGUGCUGUUCAGUGGGUUGUCUAGCUCCAGCAACAACUACCCUUCCUGGCAACACCACUUCUUCGUGUGGAUCUACAGAUCAGAGCUAGGAAUUAAGAGGAGUGAAUUCCAAAUAGGUUCUGUUCUGUCCUGUUUUGUGGAUUGGUUGGCUUCAGCAGUAACUCAUCUUGGUCUCGGCAGCAACAAUCCUCUUGUCCCAACAGCCACAGUAGCUGUGGAAUUGAGGACUCUGUUUCGAGACGGGCGUCUCGGCUUCGGAUUUGGAUUGACUGUACCUUCUAUUGGA
Zingiber officinale is the source of this 711-nucleotide long non-coding RNA. RefSeq lists it as uncharacterized. NCBI's taxonomy places the organism in Eukaryota, Viridiplantae, Streptophyta, Magnoliopsida, Zingiberales, Zingiberaceae. The transcript is spliced from 5 exons. The record is from RefSeq and is a predicted model, not a curated record.